UACGUAGGGGGCAAGCGUUGUCCGGAUUUAUUGGGCGUAAAGAGCGUGUAGGCGGCUAGAUAGGUCCGUUGUGAAAACUCGAGGCUCAACCUCGAGACGCCGGUGGAAACCAUCUAGCUAGAGUCCGGAAGAGGAGAGUGGAAUUCCUGGUGUAGCGGUGAAAUGCGCAGAUAUCAGGAGGAACACCGGUGGCGAAGGCGGUGAUCUGGGCCGACACUGACGCUGUAGAGCGAAAGCGUGGGGAGCGAACAGG
This 253-nucleotide ribosomal RNA is filed under the name uncultured bacterium. RNAcentral describes it as "partial 16S ribosomal RNA". It matches the Rfam family "Bacterial small subunit ribosomal RNA", at positions 524 to 776 of the family's 1533-position model. The record is from RNAcentral.